UGGCUCAGACCGAACGCUGGCGGCGUGGCUAAGACAUGCAAGUCGAACGGAUCAUUCAAGUGAGCAAUCAUGAGAAUGGUUAGUGGCGGAAGGGUGAGUAAUGCAUAGGUAACGUACCCCGAUCUCUGGGAUAGCUGCGGCCCGCAAGGGUCUUUAGCGAAAGUGCAGGUAAUACCGGAUAAGCUCACGGGAUCGUAUGAUCCAGUGAGUAAAGGUUUCGGCCGGUUUGGGAGCGGCCUAUGUCGUAUCAGCUUGUUGGUGAGGUAACGGCUCACCAAGGCGACAACGCGUACCGGGACUGAGAGGUUGGCCCGGCACAUCGGGACUGAGACACUGCCCGGACCUCCACGGAGGGCUGCAGUAACGAAUAUUGCGCAAUGGCCGAAAGGCUGACGCAGCGACGCCGCGUGCAGGAUGAAGAUCUUCGGAUUGUAAACUGCUGUCAGGGUGAAGAAAGGGCGAGCAAUCGCCUUGAUCGAUCCCAGAGGAAGGCCCGGCUAACUUCGUGCCAGCAGCCGCGGUAAUACGAAGGGGCCUAGCGUUGUUCGGAAUUACUGGGCAUAAAGCGCGCGCAGGCGGAGAGGUAAGUGUCCUGUGAAAUACCCCGGCUUAACCGGGGAACUGCGGGGCAAACUGCCUUUCUUGAGGCAAGCAGGGGUGUGUGGAACUCUGGGUGGAGCGGUGAAAUGCGUAGAUAUCCAGAGGAACGCCGGCGGUGAAAACGACACAAUGGGCUUGUUCUGACGCUGAGGCGCGAAAGCGCGGGGAGUGAACGGGAUUAGAUACCCCGGUAAUCCGCGCUGUAAACGAUGCCUGCUAGGUCGUGGUGGUUCUGACACCGGCACGGCCGAAGCUAAUGUGAUAAGUAGGCCGCCUGGGGAGUACGGUCGCAAGGCUAAAACU
RNAcentral lists this ribosomal RNA (903 nucleotides) under uncultured bacterium. Its description in RNAcentral is "bacterial SSU rRNA". It matches the Rfam family "Bacterial small subunit ribosomal RNA", at positions 20 to 901 of the family's 1533-position model. The record is from RNAcentral.